AUUGAACGCCGGCGGCAUGCCUUACACAUGCAAGUCGAACGGCAGCACGGGAGCAAUCCUGGUGGCGAGUGGCGAACGGGUGAGUAAUAUAUCGGAACGUGCCCAGUCGUGGGGGAUAACGUAGCGAAAGCUACGCUAAUACCGCAUACGAUCUAUGGAUGAAAGCGGGGGAUCGCAAGACCUCGCGCGAUUGGAGCGGCCGAUAUCAGAUUAGGUAGUUGGUGAGGUAAAGGCUCACCAAGCCGACGAUCUGUAGCUGGUCUGAGAGGACGACCAGCCACACUGGGACUGAGACACGGCCCAGACUCCUACGGGAGGCAGCAGUGGGGAAUUUUGGACAAUGGGCGCAAGCCUGAUCCAGCAAUGCCGCGUGCAGGAUGAAGGCCUUCGGGUCGUAAACUGCUUUUGUACGGAACGAAACGGCGAGCUCUAAUACAGUUUGCUAAUGACGGUACCGUAAGAAUAAGCACCGGCUAACUACGUGCCAGCCGCCGCCGUAA
RNAcentral lists this ribosomal RNA (500 nucleotides) under uncultured bacterium. Its description in RNAcentral is "partial 16S ribosomal RNA". It matches the Rfam family "Bacterial small subunit ribosomal RNA", at positions 30 to 523 of the family's 1533-position model. The record is from RNAcentral.